CCUACGGGUGGCAGCAGUGAGGAAUAUUGGUCAAUGGGCGAGAGCCUGAACCAGCCAAGUCGCGUGAAGGAUGACGGCCCUACGGGUUGUAAACUUCUUUUGUCAGGGAGCAAUUGGGUCCACGCGUGGGCUUCGCGAGAGUACCUGCAGACAAAGCAUCGGCAAACUCCGUGCCAGCAGCCGCGGUAAUACGGAGGAUGCGAGCGUUAUCGGGAUUUAUUGGGUUUAAAGGGUGCGUAGGCGGACUAUCAAGUCAGCGGUAAAAAUUCGGGGCUCAACCCCGCCGUGCCGUUGAAACUGAUGGGCUAGAGUGGGCGAGAAGUAGGCAGAAUGCGUGGUGUAGCGGUGAAAUGCAUAGAUAUCACGCAGAACUCCGAUUGCGAAGGCAGCAUACCGGAGCCAAACUGACGCUGAAGCACGAAAGCGUGGGUAUCGAACAGGAUUAGAUACCCUGGUAGUC
Molecule: ribosomal RNA, 460 nt
Filed under: uncultured bacterium
Lineage: Bacteria
Description: partial 16S ribosomal RNA
Rfam family: Bacterial small subunit ribosomal RNA
Source: RNAcentral